GAUCAUGGCUCAGGAUGAACGCUGGCGGCGUGCCUAACACAUGCAAGUCGAGCGAAGCGAUCGGAUGGAAGUUUUCGGAUGGAAGUCAGAUCGACUGAGCGGCGGACGGGUGAGUAACGCGUGGGUAACCUGCCUCAUACAGGGGGAUAACAGUUAGAAAUGGCUGCUAAUACCGCAUAAGCACACAGGACCGCAUGGUCCGGUGUGAAAAACUCCGGUGGU
This 222-nucleotide ribosomal RNA is filed under the name uncultured bacterium. RNAcentral's name for it is "partial 16S ribosomal RNA". It matches the Rfam family "Bacterial small subunit ribosomal RNA", at positions 15 to 219 of the family's 1533-position model. The record is from RNAcentral.